RNAcentral lists this unclassified non-coding RNA (239 nucleotides) under uncultured fungus. RNAcentral's name for it is "sequence contains ITS2". The stretch from base 1 to 52 matches the Rfam family "5.8S ribosomal RNA", at positions 103 to 154 of the family's 154-position model. Lineage: Eukaryota; Fungi. The record is from RNAcentral.
AACGCACAUUGCGCCCGCUGGUAUUCCGGCGGGCAUGCCUGUUCGAGCGUCAUUAUAACCAAUCAAGCUUUGCUUGGCUUUGGGGCCCGUUGUACCGGCGGCCCUUAAAAUCAGUGGCGGUGCCGUCUGGCUCUAAGCGUAGUAAUACUUCUCGCUAUAGGGUCCAGCCGUCCACCCGCCAGAACCCUCAAAUUUCUCAGGUUGACCUCGGAUCAGGUAGGGAUACCCGCUGAACUUAA